GCUGGACAGUGGUGGCGCACGCCUUUAAUCCCAGCACUUGGGAGGCAGAGGCAGGUGGAUUUCUGAGUUCCAGGCCAGCCUGGUCUACAGAGUGAGUUCCAGGACAGCCAGGGCUAUACAGAGAAACCCUGUCUCGAAAACUAUGUUCUAUUUCAAAAUUAACACUGAAAUAUUUUCCAAUAAAAAAAAAAUUUAGACUUUUUUUUUUUCAGACAGGAUUUCUCUGUGUAUUCCUGGCUGUCCUGGAACUCACUCUGUAGACCAGACUAGCCUGGAACUCAGAAAUCUGCCUGC
RNAcentral lists this long non-coding RNA (294 nucleotides) under Mus musculus (house mouse). Its description in RNAcentral is "long non-coding RNA chr8:43337963-43338257". The record is from RNAcentral. Lineage: Eukaryota; Metazoa; Chordata; Mammalia; Rodentia; Muridae.